GGAAACGGGGCGGGCGGGAUGUAACGCGGGGAGAGAGGGGCUGAGGGGAAGACGGAGGGCGCGGGGGCGGGCAGGCAAACGGUGGGAGGGGCGGAGGGGAUAAGCAGAUGUGGCGGGGCUGGGAGGAAAACGGGGCCACCCGGACGGAUAGGAAAAACUGCGGGAGCGGGGCUGAGCGGAAAAUGGUGGCGGGGAGAGGCGAGGGCUGGGGCCGAGGGCAGGAGCGGACCGGUGAACUCGGCCGGGGAGAAACCGGGAGCGGGAAUGAGAGGAAAGGAGGCGGGGGCGGGAGCCAACAGGAAGGGCAGCGGGCACCGGGUGCAGCCGGCGGCGGAAGGGACGCGGGCCGGUUACCAACGAGCGGGUGGAGGGGGUGAGGAAGGUUUAGUCCAAAAAAAUGAAGGGGGUGUGGCGGGGAGAGGGGCUGAGGGGCAAACGCGGGAAGGGAACGGAAUAGCUCCGGUACUUGAGAAAACGGGGGGCGAUCAGGGAGGAGACUGUCGGAUAAAAAUGAGGACCCGAAGACAGAAUUGUCGGGCCCGGGGUCCCGGGGAGAGCCGGGUGAGAAGCGUGGGGGAAAGUAAUCGGGCUGGAGGAUAAAAUUGGGGACCUGAGGAGACCGGGGCUCAGAGGUUAAAUGGGAGCCGAGGUAGAGGCUGGGAGUAAGUGGAAGAGCUGAGAAGAGGUAAGCCGCGAUUUUUAAAAAGGAAACUGGAGGGUGAAAAGCAGAGCAUGCCAAGGUUAAAAUGAGGCAGGGGCAGCCAGCCAGAAGAAAGAGGGAUCUAACAAGAGCUGAGGGUCCAAACAUGGGCAAGCCGGGUAAACGUAUGUGACCUAGGAGGCCUGCGGCGGGACACAGGUGCCUCGGACCGCAGGGAAGAGAGGUGGAGCAAGACAGAGGGAAGGCGAAGGAGAAGACAACCAGCAUCUUCUAAGUCACCUUUACAUCCAGAAGGAUCUCAUUUCAGCCUCACCACAACCCUGUAAGCCCUUCAGCAGGCAUGGUGUUGAGGGUGUCAAGUCAAAGCAGAAUGAAAAGCUCUUCUUCGGUGUAGCUUUCCAAGCUUCUCAGACAAGAUAAUGAAGGACAGUUCUCUUCUUCACACUGGCCUGUCUUCUUGAACCAUGUCAUUCUGCUGCUCACUGCUGUCAUCUGCACAGGAAGGAAAAGC
Manis pentadactyla (Chinese pangolin) is the source of this 1172-nucleotide long non-coding RNA. RefSeq lists it as uncharacterized. The record is from RefSeq and is a predicted model, not a curated record. Lineage: Eukaryota; Metazoa; Chordata; Mammalia; Pholidota; Manidae. The transcript is spliced from 3 exons.